Molecule: non-coding RNA, 96 nt
Filed under: Sphingobacterium spiritivorum
Lineage: Bacteria; Pseudomonadati; Bacteroidota; Sphingobacteriia; Sphingobacteriales; Sphingobacteriaceae
Also listed under: 3 other names
Description: Sphingobacterium sp. TPP sequence
Rfam family: TPP riboswitch aptamer (THI element)
About the family: Vitamin B(1) in its active form thiamin pyrophosphate (TPP) is an essential coenzyme that is synthesised by coupling of pyrimidine and thiazole moieties in bacteria.
Source: RNAcentral
UCGCAACUUUAGGGGUGUCUGCUCAUGCAGGCUGAGAUUUUACCCUUAGAACCUGAUCCGGAUCAUACUGGCGUAGGGAAAAGUGAGCUGUCUACA